UACGGAGGGAGCUAGCGUUGUUCGGAACUACUGGGCGUAAAGCGCACGUAGGCGGCGCAGCAAGUCAGGGGUGAAAUCCCGGGGCUCAACCCCGGAACUGCCCUUGAAACUGCAGUGCUAGAAUUCUGGAGAGGCGAGUGGAAUUCCGAGUGUAGAGGUGAAAUUCGUAGAUAUUCGCAAGAACACCAGUGGCGAAGGCGGCUCACUGGCCCGGUACUGACGCUGAGGUGCGAAAGCGUGGGGAGCAAACAGG
This 253-nucleotide ribosomal RNA is filed under the name uncultured bacterium. RNAcentral's name for it is "partial 16S ribosomal RNA". It matches the Rfam family "Bacterial small subunit ribosomal RNA", at positions 524 to 776 of the family's 1533-position model. The record is from RNAcentral.